UUUGAUCGACCCCAGCCAGAGCGGCUCGGCGCGAUCCUGCCCGUAGCUGGCCAACAACGCCUGAGCCUC
Molecule: antisense RNA, 69 nt
Filed under: Mycobacterium conspicuum
Lineage: Bacteria; Bacillati; Actinomycetota; Actinomycetes; Mycobacteriales; Mycobacteriaceae
Description: ASpks TB sRNA
Rfam family: ASpks TB sRNA
Source: Rfam by way of RNAcentral